GGUGGCUCAGUGGUAGAGUGCUUGCCUAGCAUGCAUGAGGCCUGGGUUCAAUUCCUCAGCACCA
This 64-nucleotide transfer RNA is filed under the name Dipodomys ordii (Ord's kangaroo rat). It matches the Rfam family "tRNA". From Rfam's summary of the family: Transfer RNA (tRNA) molecules are approximately 80 nucleotides in length. Their secondary structure includes four short double-helical elements and three loops (D, anti-codon, and T loops). The record is from Rfam by way of RNAcentral. Lineage: Eukaryota; Metazoa; Chordata; Mammalia; Rodentia; Heteromyidae.